This 253-nucleotide ribosomal RNA is filed under the name uncultured bacterium. RNAcentral describes it as "partial 16S ribosomal RNA". It matches the Rfam family "Bacterial small subunit ribosomal RNA", at positions 524 to 776 of the family's 1533-position model. The record is from RNAcentral.
UACAGAGGUCUCAAGCGUUGUUCGGAUUCAUUGGGCGUAAAGGGUGCGUAGGCGGCGCGGUAAGUCGGGUGUGAAAUCUCGGAGCUUAACUCCGAAACUGCAUUCGAUACUGCCGUGCUUGAGGACUGGAGAGGAGACUGGAAUUUACGGUGUAGCGGUGAAAUGCGUAGAUAUCAAGUGGAACACCAGUGGCGAAGGCGGGUCUCUGGACAGUUCCUGACGCUGAGGCACGAAGGCCAGGGGAGCAAACGGG